Molecule: ribosomal RNA, 774 nt
Filed under: uncultured Neocallimastigales
Lineage: Eukaryota; Fungi; Neocallimastigomycota; Neocallimastigomycetes; Neocallimastigales
Description: partial large subunit ribosomal RNA
Rfam family: Eukaryotic large subunit ribosomal RNA
Source: RNAcentral
AGAGAGAGACAUGCGCGCAUAUCAAUAAGCGGAGGAAAAGAAACUAACAAGGAUUCCCUUAGUAACGGCGAGUGAAGCGGGAAGAGCUCAAAUUUGAAAUCUUCAAGGUUUUACCUUGACGAAUUGUAGUUUAAAGAAGUGUUUUCUGCUGAAGUUUUGGUAAAAGUUCUUUGGAAUAGGACAUCAUAGAGGGUGAGAAUCCCGUAUUUGACCAUUAUUUUCAGCUUUGUGAUACACUUUCAAAGAGUCGGAUUGUUUGGGAAUGCAGUCCAAAAUGGGUGGUAAAUUUCAUCUAAAGCUAAAUAUUGGCGAGAGACCGAUAGCGAACAAGUACCGUGAGGGAAAGAUGAAAAGAACUUUGAAAAGGAGAGUUAAACAGUACGUGAAAUUGUCAAAAGGGAAGCGUUUGACACCAGUGUUGUCUUCUCGAAAAUCAAUUAAAAAUGGCUCGAUUUUGUAUUGUUGAGACCUUAAAAGCUCACUGUACAUUUUUCGUGUCUUUUUUAAUGCACUUUUCGUUUAACAAGUCAACAUCAGUUUCUUUUGUUGUAAAAGGGUCAUUGGAAGGUGGCUUUCUUUUCGGAGAAAGUGUUUAUAGCCUUUGGCCUCUGCAAUCGGAGAGACUGAGGUCUGCAGCGUAGACUCUUCGGGGUUAGAUACAUUUGUGCUAAGUUAUAGCUUUUUAUAGACAACUUGUUGACUAUAAUUAGUCUUGUAGCUUACUCGCUUAUGCUAUUUUACCUACGCUUAGGAUGUGAAGUCAUCGUAUCGCGC